Molecule: small RNA, 125 nt
Filed under: Marmota monax (woodchuck)
Lineage: Eukaryota; Metazoa; Chordata; Mammalia; Rodentia; Sciuridae
Source: RNAcentral
GCCAGGUGCGGUGGCGCAUGCCUGUAAUCCCAGAGGCUCAGGAGGCUGAAUCAGGAGGAUCGCAAGUUCAAAGCCAGCCUCAGCAACAUUGAGGUGCUAAACAACUCAGUGAGACCCUGUCUCUA